GUGAGGAAUUUUCCGCAAUGGGCGAAAGCCUGACGGAGCAAUGCCGCGUGAAGGAUGAAGGCCUAUGGGUUGUAAACUUCUUUUCUCAGAAAAGAAUUAUGACGGUAUCUGAGGAAUAAGCAUCGGCUAACUCUGUGCCAGCAGCCGCGGUAAGACAGAGGAUGCAAGCGUUAUCCGGAAUGAUUGGGCGUAAAGCGUCUGUAGGUUGUUUAAAAAGUAUUCUGUCAAAGAUUAGGGCUUAACCCUAGAUAGGCAGAAUAAACUUUUAAGCUAGAGUUUGGUAGAGGCAGAGGGAAUUCCCGGUGGAGCGGUGAAAUGCGUAGAUAUCGGGAGGAACACCAAAGGCGAGGGCACUCUGCUGGGCCAAUACUAACACUGAGAGACGAAAGCGAGGGGAGCAAAUGGGAUUAGAAACCCUUGUAGUCC
RNAcentral lists this ribosomal RNA (426 nucleotides) under uncultured bacterium. RNAcentral's name for it is "partial 16S ribosomal RNA". It matches the Rfam family "Bacterial small subunit ribosomal RNA", at positions 354 to 796 of the family's 1533-position model. The record is from RNAcentral.